AAAAUCGUUUUAGAAGUAUUUUUAAUUUGCAAUUAAUAACCUCUAUUUUC
This 50-nucleotide transfer RNA is filed under the name Mastigoproctus giganteus (giant whipscorpion). RNAcentral describes it as "tRNA-Ala". Lineage: Eukaryota; Metazoa; Arthropoda; Arachnida; Uropygi; Thelyphonidae. The record is from RNAcentral.